This 410-nucleotide ribosomal RNA is filed under the name uncultured bacterium. Its description in RNAcentral is "bacterial SSU rRNA". It matches the Rfam family "Bacterial small subunit ribosomal RNA", at positions 28 to 439 of the family's 1533-position model. The record is from RNAcentral.
GACGAACGCUGGCGGCGUGCUUAACACAUGCAAGUCGAGCGGUAAGGCCCUUUCGGGGGUACACGAGCGGCGAACGGGUGAGUAACACGUGGGUGACCUGCCUUUAGCUCUGGGAUAAGCCUGGGAAACUGGGUCUAAUACCGGAUAUGACUCCAUGAUGCAUGUUGUGGGGUGGAAAGCCUUGUGCGGCUGGAGAUGGGCCCGCGGCCUAUCAGCUUGUUGGUGGGGUGAUGGCCUACCAAGGCGACGACGGGUAGCCGGCCUGAGAGGGCGACCGGCCACACUGGGACUGAGACACGGCCCAGACUCCUACGGGAGGCAGCAGUGGGGAAUAUUGGACAAUGGGCGCAAGCCUGAUCCAGCAAUGCCGCGUGUGUGAAGAAGGCCUGCGGGUUGUAAAGCACUUUCGG